Molecule: long non-coding RNA, 816 nt
Organism: Maniola jurtina (meadow brown)
Lineage: Eukaryota; Metazoa; Arthropoda; Insecta; Lepidoptera; Nymphalidae
Exons: 2
Source: RefSeq, a predicted model, not a curated record
CCAUUCUUGACCGCCGUACCAAUUUGGGAACACUUACUUAUUGAAGUGAAAUAAAAAAAGUGUUGACUUUAGUUAAUAUAUUAUUACAUUUAUGAGUAGUUGAAAGUGCAGUGAUUGAAUAUAAAAUAAAAUAAAAAAAUUAUCAUCAGUAUUAUUUUAGUAACGAUCCAUCAAAUUUCGUUAUCGAGAGACAUGUGGAGAUUAUCAAGAUGACCUGAAAAGGCAUUAUAGUGCCAAAUACAACCUUUGAAGAUAAGAGGAAGCUAUUAAUUCGAUCUUAGAAGAUAGAGAUAACAGUUUGAAGUAUGAUUUCGCUAUAAAUCUACGAAAGGUUGACGCCGUUACUGAUGAAGAAGUAGGGUCUGAUGACAACGAGACUCCAUCAAGCUUGCCAAAUGACGUUGUUGGAAAUAUGGAAAUACUAGCGACCACUUGCGGCUUAGCUCCCGUGGGAAUUUUGCAAAAUACGACCUUAUUCUUCAUCAACGUUAUAAAAGAAACAUUUAUGCAAAAUUUCAGCUUUCUCGAUCCAAGAGUUUGGGCUGGGCGCUGAUGUGUAAGUUGCUGAGUGAGUCCGAUUUUUUUUUUUUUUAUUUAGAUUUGUUCACAAUGUUGGUAGGUACUCUUUCUGGUGCUGAAGGCAGCAGUGACGACGAGUCGUUGGCUGUCAAAAGAGUUCUAAUUAGAAUCAGUUCGCCACAAACUGAAAAACUUAGUAUUGGACCAAAUCAAUCCAUUUUGAAUGUUUCAGUUUUGCGAAAGUGUACUGCAAGUUAUUUGAAAACUAACACAGAAUCUUACGAUUGAAUUCUGAAC